GGCUUCACGAUCUUUGAGUAGUCUUUAACAAACCGGCGGUAAUAACCGCAAACACCCAGGAAGGUUCUUAGCUCCUUCAAGUUGGUUGGUUUUGGCCAGGUUUUUAAUGCUGCUACUUUGUCAGGAUCGGUUUCGAUGCCUUUUUUAGACACAAUGUGGCCGAGGUACUUUACAGAGGUUUGAAAGAACUUGCAUUUCCCUGGCGACAGUUUCAAGCCAAACUCUUUCAAUUGGUUGAGCACGCGCAUCAACCUUUCCUCAUACUCCUCCAGUGUCGAGGAGAAGAUGAUGAGGUCAUCCAGAAAAACUAGGGCCUGCUUCAAGUUCAACUCUCCCAUACAGCGCUCCAUAAGCCACUGGAACAUGCUAGGGGCAUUGGUUAUCCCCUGAGGCAUCCUGUUUAACUCUAAGAAUCCUAGUGGGCAGACGAAUGCAGUUUUGUGUUUGUCUGCUUCCUCCAUCUCUAUUUGAUAGAAGCCUGAUUUGAGAUCGAGCACCGAGAACCACCUGGACCCAGUCAACACCGAGAAGGACUCUUCCAGAUUAGGUAAGGCAUAUGAAUCCUUUAUUGUUUGUGUGUUCCAUUUUCUGUAGUCUUUACAGAGCCUGACGUUGCCAUUCUCUUUCCUGAUGACUACAAUCGGCGAGGAGAAAGGUGACUCCGAUUCCUGAGUGACUUCUGCAUCGAGGAGUUGCUGGAGAUGGGUACGCACAGCCUCUAUGUCCUGGGGGUGUAUAGGUCUUGGCCUAUGUUUGAAUGGCGUCUUGUCACUGAGAGUUGAUUUUGUCAGUGCGGCCAAAGUCUAGCUCGUGCAGUGCAAACACCUCCGGCAUUGAACUCAAUUUCUCUCUUUCCACUUGUUGGGUACAGGAGAGUCAGUGAAGUCAAAGUUGAGAUUUGGCUUUUGGUCAGGUUUUGUGGGGGAGUCUGAGUCAGGGGUCUUGACAGAUUUGACACUCUUGACAGCAUGUAUCUCUGCUAUGACAGCCUUUGGAGACAGGGUGAUGUCAUGGUGUGACUCGUUCUUGAGUAUGACUGGUAUGCAGCGUGGUAGCUUUGGUGGUAGACUUACCAGGCUAUCUGUCACCAGGAUGCCACCAGGUAGGGUCGAUGACUUUGGUGACUCUACCAUCACCCACUUUUCAGUAUAAGGUGUCCUGCAGCUCACUGAUCCUUCAAGGACUUUGGUCUGUCCAGCUGCAAUGGUUCCAAAGGCUGGAAUCAACAGACUGUCUUUUCCGGAUUUCAAGGGUCUUUAGGACGAUUUUGUAGCCAUAAAGAAGAGACUCAAAGUUCUGAGGUGCGAUCUCUGCAUAUUUCUCGUAGAGAACAUCCAUAGUAUUUGUGCCUAUAAGCACCGAUGACAAGGUGGAGCGCAUGUCGGGUACAACCAAGACCAGUGUAGGUACCUCGAUGUCGGCUCUAAGCAAGCUCUCUGGGAAUCUGAUGGUGGCCUCAACGUAGCCAAGGUAAGGGACGCUUUAACUAUUGGCUCCUUCCACUUCAAGCAGGUCGUUCAAAGAACUGAGAGGUAAGUGAGACAAAUUCCCAAAAUAAAAGAGUUGGGGAUCGUUGUUACUUGAUAGCCUGAGUCUAACAAGCAACUGCAGUCUUUGUCAGCGAUGGUCACUUGUGCGGUGCACUUGGCUCCAAUCAGACCUUUUGGCAGGGUCACUGACUGUUUUUGUGUGUGAGAGUACACAAGGCCUCUGUGCAGCUUCUUUUUGGGACAUUUUGUCUGUGUUCCAGUCCCCGUUUGUCCCACAACUGGAACUGGGUCUUGUUUAAAGGAUCAGGCUUUGAAGUGCCAUGUUGACUGUCCCAUGCUAACUGCUUUUCUUUUAGCUGCUUCCUCUUCUCAGCUACAAGACAUGGGUUCGGCUCACUUUCACAUUGAGGCUUGAUGUGUCCGUCCUCUCCACAUCUAAAGCAAUACCAGGAUCUUGAUCUAUUGCUUGUGUUGUUGUUUGAAUCUCGGCUGUGGGGCUGCAGCCUUUGAGAUGUGUGAGUGAUAGUUGGAGAAUGUGUGCUAGCUGUUUGGGGAGCUAGUGGUCUGACAGUUGAUUCAGCUUUUCUACUGUCUCUGUGUGAUACGUGUGAGCUGGGACUGUAAAUCUGACGAACUGUCUGAGAAGAUGCCGGUCAAGGUCCCUUGCAGUUACACCUCCCCUCCUGAGGGUGGUGCUCAGCAUCACCUGCAGCCGUUGAAGAUAAGCUGAGGGUUUCUCACCAUUAUCUUGCAUUGUGUUGAGAUACUUUGCGAAGAGGUCAUCUCUGUCCUCAACGGUGCCGAAAGCGGAGUCUAAGAUCUCUAAGUACACAUCAAGAGGAGAUUCAGGUGCAGGUGCUCCACAAUAUCAAUGGCAGGUGAUACGAGACUUUCAAGAAGCUUCCAUGACUUUUAAAGAUCAGACUGUGUUAUGUCUUUAAGAAGUUCCACGUUGGAGCGCCAUGCCUCAUCGUCCACUUCAUUGUUGGGACGUGGGACAUGCCCAGAGAAGGGUCUGAGUCUCAAGGAAGUGUGCACCUGCAGAGCAGAAUCUUCAUUUCUCACUAUGUGCUCAACGAUUACUUUUUGUAUGUCAGGUGGAUUGACGACAGAAAGUUUCAGAGCAGGCCGUGUCUUUUCUUUAGAUGGUGUUGGUGAUGGAGACCAAUGAUGUUGAACAUGCCGCUCUGGGGCUGUACUGGGCAGGGGGUUUACCUGUGCAGCAUUGUCAGGGUCAUGUUGCUCUGGGGUAUCAGGUGAGUUCUGCUUCAUCUUGGGUCUCUGAGUGAUCUAGGUCAACAGUCUCACUGAUGAGGGACAGCUCUUCUCUGAGGACAGCUGCAAAGUCUUUGCCAGUCUGUUUUGCAAUGUCCUUUCACUCUGAAAGGUAAGUCUGUGUAGCUGUUUUGCUAUCUACAAGUGUGUAAACACUGGCUAAAGCUCUGAUGUGGUAGGUGAUAUCAGUCUUAAUCUUACUGUUAAGUCUGCAUGGCAAUGAAGGUAAGAGAGACUGUAUAGCUGCACCAUACACAUACUCUACAAUAACCUGUUUGCCUGACUCUUGUUCAGUGAUAUCUACUGGAAUUACCCUUUGAAUGGAACCAUAUUGUUUCAGGAAGUCACUUAGUUUGUUGUCAGUUUCUGUACCAGUCAAACCACUAACUAUGACUGAGUUAGGGAGUUUUACACUACUUGUUUGAAUGACAUCCAUAUUGGAACACUGAUAGCAAUAUUAUUCGGUCUCUGGUUUCUAGUUUUAAAUGCUUUAAGCCACUCCUGGCUGGCUCGCCAUGUUUGUAGCACCGGUAUUAGUGGUGUGUCGGUCUUGAAUGAACGGAUCAAAAGAACUAGUUCUUUUUGGUGAACGAAAUGAACUAGUUCUCCCCCCCUAAAUGACCCGUUCAGUCCGUUCAGUUCUUUUGAUUGGCUGAAGAGGGACUAUCUCUGUGCUUGCCUGUCUUAUCCUAUCAUUGCGCCUCGUUCUGUGUGUGGGUGGGGCUUAGAGAAGCAGCAGCAGCACUACUGAGCUGACUGAAAGACCAGGAUGACCGAGUUGACUGAAAGAACGGGUUAAAUGAACGAAAGACCGAGUUGAACGAAAGAUCGAGAUGAACGAAAGACCCAGACCGAUGAACGAGUUGACUGAAAGACCGGGUGAACGAAAGACCCAGACGAUGAACGAGUUGACUGAAAGACCGAGUGAACGAAAGAUCCAGACGGUGAACGAGUUGACUGAAAGACCGAGUGAACGAAAGACCCAGACAGAUGAACGAGUUGACUGAAAGACCGAGUGAACGAAAGACCCAGACGGUGAACGAGUUGAAUGAAAGACCGAGUGAACGUAAGAUCCUGACUGAUGAAUGAGUUGACUGAAAGACCGAGUUGACUGGCCGCAGCACAAGGCCCGGCAGCCGAGACCGAGCGAGCGGGACAGUCACACACACACAAAGGCACACAGCUGCUGCUGCAGCCAGAGGCAGAGAGACAACUAUUAAUACGCAUUUGCACUGUCAGUUGACAUUUUGUACUUUUUAUUAUUGUUUUUAAUGCACCUCAAAAUAAUAAAAACCAUUAAAAACCUUAUAUAUUUUGUUACACCUACUAUAAUUUUAUAUUACAAGGAGUUCAGCGCGAUCGCAGCGUUGGACCGGGGAUGGGAAGUGGGGAGUGCAGCAGUCACAGCGGCGGACCGGGGGGGGGGGUCGUAACGUAGGACCGGGGAGCUGAGACGAUCGCAACGUCGGAUCCGGAGGGGUGUAAUGCUUCAGAUUUCAAGAUCACAUGUUGUUGCGCUGUUGAGUCUGAAGUGCAGUCAGUCCGUUCGCUCAUCACGUUUGUUCAGACGCUGAACGAACGUGAAAAACAUGAACGAGCGGACUGACUAAUGACCGAUUGACCGAAAUGAACGGGUCUUUUUACUGAACGACCCAGAAUGAUCCGGUUCACUGAAAUGAACGGUUUUGCCCACCACUAAAUGGUAUCACACCACUAACUGCGCCACUGGACCAGUUCUAGGCUUUAAGGAGUGGGGAGCAAGAGUAAUAACACCAGAGACUGUUGCUUUAAGUAGAAAAGGCCAGCAAUUUACUGAAUAUAAACACACAUAUAAAAAACAGAGUAUAUGAAACCAAAAAUACCCUGCAGGUUCUCAAUGAUGAGGUAAGUAUAAAUGAAAAAAGUAUUUCACUCUUUCAUUUUGUUCUUGAGUUCACCUAGUUUAUUUUAGUAAAGCUAAUCUAAUUUAAUUAGACCAGUCUGUUUUCUUCUAGGUUAUUUUAGUCAGACUAAUUUGAAUUAGUUAGACCAGUCUCUUUUUCCUAGGUUGUACCUACAGUACAGACCAAAAGUUUGGACACACCUUCUCAUUCAAAGAGUUUUCUUUAUUUUCAUGACUAUGAAAAUUGUAGAUUCACACUGAAGGCAUCAAAACUAUGAAUUAACACAUGUAGAAUUAUAUACUUAACAAAAAAGUGUGAAACAACUGAAAAUAUGUCUUAUAUUCUAGGUUCUUCAAAGUAGCCACCUUUUGCUUUGAUUACUGCGUCGCACAUUCUUGGCAUUCUCUUGAUGAGCUUCAAGAGGUAGUCACCUGAAAUGGUCUUCCAACAGUCUUGAAGGAGUUCUCAGAGAUGCUUAGCACUUGUUGGCCCUUUUGCCUUCACUCUGCGGUCCAGCUCACCCCAAACCAUCUCGAUUGGGUUCAGGUACGGUGACUGUGGAGGCCAGGUCAUCUGGCGCAGCAACCCAUCACUCUCCUUCUUUGUCAAAUAGCCCUUACACAGCCUGGAGGUGUGUUUGGGGUCAUUGUCCUGUGGAAAAAUAAAUGAUGGUCCAACUAAACGCAAACCGGAUGGAAUAGCAUGCCGCCGCAAGAUGCUGUGGUAGCCAUGCUGGUUCAGUAUGCCUUCAAUUUUGAAUAAAUCCCCAACAGUGUCACCAGCAAAGCACCCCCACACCAUCACACCUCCUCCUCCAUGCUUCACGGUGGGAACCAGGCAUGUAGAGUCCAUCUGUUCACCUUUUCUGCGUCGCACAAAGACACCUUGGUUGGAACCAAAGAUCUCAAAUUUGGACUCAUCAGACCAAAGCACAGAUUUCAACUGGUCCAAUGUCCAUUCUUUGUGUUCUUUAGCCCAAACAAGUCUCUUCUGCUUGUUGCCUGUCCUUAGCAGUGGUUUCCUAGCAGCUAUUCUACCAUGAAGGCCUGAUUCACACAGUCUCCUCUUAACAGUUGUUCUAGAGAUGUGUCUGCUGCUAGAACUCUGUGUGGCACUGACCUGGUCUCUAAUCUGAGCCGCUGUUAACUUGCGAUUUCUGAGGCUGGUGACUCGGAUGAACUUAUCCUCCGCAGCAGAGGUGACUCUUGGUCUUCCUUUCCUGGGGCGGUCCUCAUGUGAGCCAGUUUCUUUGUAGCGCUUGAUGGUUUUUGCGACUGCACUUGGGGACAUUUUCAAAGCUUUCCUAAUUUUUCGAACUGACUGACCUUCAUUUCUUAAAGUAAUGAUGGCCACUCGUUUUUCUUUACUUAGCUGCUUUUUUCUUGCCAUAAUACAAAUUCUAACUGUCUAUUCAGUAGGACUAUCAGCUGUGUAUCCACCUGACUUCUGCACAACACAACUGAUGGUCCCAACCCCAUUUAUAAGGCAAGAAAUCCCACUUAUUAAACCUGACAGGGCACACCUGUGAAGUGAAAACCAUUUCAGGUGACUACCUCUUGAAGCUCAUCAAGAGAAUGCAGAGUGUGUGCAAAGCAGUAAUCAGAGCAAAAGGUGGCUAUUUGAAGGCGUAUUUUCAGUUGUUUUACACUUUUUUGUUAAGUAUAUAUUUCCACAUGUGUUAAUUCAUAGUUUUGAUGCCUUCAGUGUGAAUCUACAAUGUCAAUAGUCAUGAGAAGAAAAGAAACUCAUUGAAUGAGAAGGUGUGUCCAAACUUUUGGUCUGUACUGUAUUUUAGGAUUCCUAUUUUUCUUCCUCGGUUAACUCUUUUUUUUUUCUUUCUUUUACAGGUAAGAAAACACCUUAAUCACAAAUAAAUCAAAGUGGACCACAGUUAUUCAAAUCACAUUCAAAAAAAUAAACUCAAUAAAAAAUUAAAAGUAUGACACUUUAAAUUUAAGUUCAAGUCCAAAUGUGAAUUCAAGUGUUCAGUUCAAUGAAAAGUUUCAGUUCAAUUCAGUCCAAAAAUAAUAAUUCAAUCAGUUCUCAGUUUUGUUCAGUUCAGUUCAAACUAGUUCCUGAUACUCCUACCACUGUGGCAAGGAGUUACCACACGCAGGAGAUUCCCUCACGAUGCGAUGGAGAAGAUGAGUUGAAGGUCUGGGUCUGGCUCGCCAUCUUGAAUCCCGUCUGUGAAUGUGCAUGCCUGCACAUGGCAGACCAAUCCUUGCUCCGACCGAGCUUCCAACCAUGCAAAAAAACCUGACCUGUGUAACAGGCCAUAAACACAAUAAAACUCUUUUUAAAUCCUCAAAUUACACAAUUAAAUGCUUCACAGUCUCUGAGUUGUAAUGUUUCUGCUACGGUGUUAUUUCAACUCAAAAUGGCAGCGGAGUGGUCUCUUUUAUCUCAUAGCUCUGUCUCCUGUAGCAAUUACUGCACAAAUUUUCUAUUUAGUCAGCUUACACACACUUUUAUAACAUUCACAGUCUUCAUAAACCCAAAAUAUUAACUGGAUAACAGUUUAUGAUGGAGUAUUUCUUUGUAAACAGCUACGUUUUUAGUGUUAGCUCUUCGGCAGAGAAAAAAAACAACAACACUGUGAAAAUGCAUGAAAAUAAACACAAAACUGAAAAAAAUACGAUGUGGCUUAGUUCUCAUAAAAUCCCCGUCAGUUCCCGACCAGGUAAGUUAUGGUUUUCAACUGUUUUAUCGACUUUUUCACUGCUUUUUCUGUUAAUUAAUCACCGCUCGUCUUCUCUGGUUUCUCCUCUGCUCUCUCCCUCAGGUAGUGAUGUGUCGAGUAAUGAAGGGGGCGUUUCCGCAAAACGCUUAUUGAGGUUUGCUUCAUGUAGGGGUGGAGCCAAAAAUGAUGACGUCCGAAGCCUUGCUACCUGGCUGUACCACGUGACUGAUUCAAGAAACGGUUCGCGGGUUUGGUUAAUGAAUUGACAGGCAGCGAAAUGCAAUGGAAUCCUCCCCCACUCACAAUCCAUAGACUCGAGACUUGAUGAAAAGUUUUUAAAUAAAAAUAAAUAAAUAUAAAUGAAAUGUUUAUGUUUUAUGUUGUCCCUGUAACAAAAGUACGUACAACAAACUAAGUAACACAAGCACAUUCACAUCACAGCCCCUUUUUGACAUUGCAACUGUGUCUUAAAGACAGACACCAUGUUAAUAACUUCAUCAUUUCUGUAUUGUAUAAUAUAAUAAUAAUAUAAUAUAAUAUAAUAUAAACACACGGCAUCACAUCCAUUCAUUCAUUCAAUUCAAAGCUUUGCGCACCCAAGCCUCAGGGCUUUUUUUUCGUGUAUGCCUGUGAGGCGGCGGAGGGUGGCGGACCCCGCACAGUUGUAUUUUCGUCUAGCGGAGCCCGGCGUACAGCCAGUUUGGUAUUUUCAUGGACUGAGGCGCACGGAGGCGAACAGAGAUCCGCCAAGCUGGGCGUGGUGGCGUGGCAGGACUACAUCUUCCCCUCCCUGAGUGUGAGUCCUGCAGUAGGAGAAUGGAGGGAGGAGAGUGGACUGUUGCUGUCCUUAAAGAGACCAGUACUGGGAGCCUUCAGCUCCUGCACAGGGAAGCAGCUGUACCUUAGCUGUGUGAAGGCACUGAACCUGCGCUCCCUCACUGGAGUCAGAGAGUCUAGGUGGACAGCGGUUUUUGGCUCAGACUUUUCCCCUGAUGGCAACUGGAGGGUCCUGUGUAAGCCUCCUGUUGAGAAACAAAUGGCAGAUCUCCAAUGGAGGAUUAUACAUGGAGCGAUAGCAACAAACAGGUAUAGAGCUCAUCUUGAUCCAGACACUGGGGAGGAUGUCCCUUCUUCUCACAGUCAGAGACCAUAGAGCACCUGGUGCUGCCCUGUCCCAGACUGGCAGCUCUUUUUAAAGCGGUGCAGGAGUGGAUGGGGGGUUUGGGGGAGGUUUUCUCUUUCCCACUCUUUGUCUUUGGACCCAAAUACACUCCCAAGAAAAAGA
Molecule: non-coding RNA, 8616 nt
Organism: Xyrichtys novacula (pearly razorfish)
Lineage: Eukaryota; Metazoa; Chordata; Actinopteri; Labriformes; Labridae
Source: the annotation of a GenBank genome assembly